This 253-nucleotide ribosomal RNA is filed under the name uncultured bacterium. Its description in RNAcentral is "partial 16S ribosomal RNA". It matches the Rfam family "Bacterial small subunit ribosomal RNA", at positions 524 to 776 of the family's 1533-position model. The record is from RNAcentral.
UACGUAGGGUGCAAGCGUUGUCCGGAAUCAUUGGGCGUAAAGCGCGUGUAGGCGGCUCGGUAAGUCUGCUGUGAAAGUCCAGGGCUCAACCCUGGGAUGCCGGUGGAUACUGUCGAGCUCGAGUCCGGAAGAGGCGAGUGGAAUUCCUGGUGUAGCGGUGAAAUGCGCAGAUAUCAGGAGGAACACCAAUGGCGAAGGCAGCUCGCUGGAACGUGACUGACGCUGAGACGCGAAAGCGUGGGGAGCAAACAGG